ACGAACGCUGGCGGCGUGCUUAACCCAUGCAAGUCGAACGGUGAAGCGCCUUCCUUUUUGGUGGGUGUGGAUGAGUGGCGAACGGGUGAGUAACACGUGAGUAACCUGCCCCCUUCUUCUGGAUAACCGCAUGAAAGUGUGGCUAAUACGGGAUAUUCUGGGUCUGUCGCAUGAUGGGUCUGGGAAAGAUAUUGUUUCGGUGGGGGAUGGGCUCGCGGCCUAUCAGCUUGUUGGUGGGGUGAUGGCCUACCAAGGCGGUGACGGGUAGCCGGCCUGAGAGGGUGGACGGUCACACUGGGACUGAGACACGGCCCAGACUCCUACGGGAGGCAGCAGUGGGGAAUAUUGCACAAUGGGCGCAAGCCUGAUGCAGCGACGCCGCGUGAGGGAUGGAGGCCUGCGGGUUGUGAACCUCUUUCGCCAGUGAAGCAGGCCUGCCUCGUUUGUGGGUGGGUUGACGGUAGCUGGAUAAGAAGCGCCGGCUAACUACGUG
Molecule: ribosomal RNA, 493 nt
Filed under: uncultured bacterium
Lineage: Bacteria
Description: partial 16S ribosomal RNA
Rfam family: Bacterial small subunit ribosomal RNA
Source: RNAcentral